This 444-nucleotide ribosomal RNA is filed under the name uncultured bacterium. RNAcentral describes it as "bacterial SSU rRNA". It matches the Rfam family "Bacterial small subunit ribosomal RNA", at positions 331 to 792 of the family's 1533-position model. The record is from RNAcentral.
CCAGACUCCUACGGGAGGCAGCAGUGGGGAAUAUUGCACAAUGGGGGAAACCCUGAUGCAGCGACGCCGCGUGAAGGAAGGAGUAUUUCGGUAUGUAAACUUCUAUCAGCAGGGAAGAAAAUGACGGUACCUGACUAAGAAGCCCCGGCUAACUACGUGCCAGCAGCCGCGGUAAUACGUAGGGGGCAAGCGUUAUCCGGAUUUACUGGGUGUAAAGGGAGCGUAGACGGCAUGGCAAGUCUGAUGUGAAAACCCGGGGCUCAACCCCGGGACUGCAUUGGAAACUGUCAGGCUGGAGUGUCGGAGAGGCAAGUGGAAUUCCUAGUGUAGCGGUGAAAUGCGUAGAUAUUAGGAGGAACACCAGUGGCGAAGGCGGCUUGCUGGACGAUGACUGACGUUGAGGCUCGAAAGCGUGGGGAGCAAACAGGAUUAGAUACCCCUGUA